Oncorhynchus keta (chum salmon) is the source of this 2068-nucleotide long non-coding RNA. RefSeq lists it as uncharacterized. NCBI's taxonomy places the organism in Eukaryota, Metazoa, Chordata, Actinopteri, Salmoniformes, Salmonidae. The transcript is spliced from 4 exons. The record is from RefSeq and is a predicted model, not a curated record.
CAGGGUUAUAGUAUGGAGCUGGCCCCCUGUUCCCUACUGUUCCACAGGGUUAUAGUAUGGAGCUGGUCCCCUGUUCCCUACUGUUCCACAGGGUUAUAGUAUGGAGCUGGUCCCCUGUUCCACAGGGUUAUAGUAUGGAGCUGGCCCCCUGUUCCACAGGGUUAUAGUAUGGAGCUGGCCCCCUGUUCCACAGGGUUAUAGUAUGGAGCUGGUCCCCUGUUCCACAGGGUUGUAGUAUGGAGCUGGCCCCCUGUUCCACAGGGUUAUAGUAUGGAGCUGGAUGUAUCCUACUGCGUUGUCAUUAUGUUGUAUUUGUAGCAGGAAGUGACUGUACAGUUGUUGUCCAGCUGACUCAGGAAGUGACUGUACAGUUGUAGUCCAGCUGACUCAGGAAGUGACUGUGCAGUUGUAGUCCAGCUGACUCAGGAAGUGACUGUACGGUUGUAGUCUAGCUGACUCAGGAAGUGACUGUAUUGUCCAUCAGGUUAAAGUGUGAGGGUCAAUCGAACCUCUGCAGUCAUAGGUCUCCAACCGUUUAGUGAACCGAUGUUGCACAUUGCAUUUGUUUUCACAGGUCAUGUGUCUGAUGACUAGCCGUGCGAUACAUUCUUCUAGCCCCUGUUCUAUCAAACUCUGUACAGCAGGGUAAUGAUUUGGGUAGACAUUUCCUGUUUGUUAAAGACUGUGGAGAGUUUGUCCAGGUGAUUAAUACAGUGAACAGGAGAGGAUGUCCAGGUGGUUAAUACAGUGAACAGGAGAGGAUGUCCAGGUGGUUAAUACAGUGAACAGGAGAGGAUGUCCAGGUGGUUAAUACAGUGAACAGGAGAGGAUGUCCAGGUGGUUAAUACAGUGAACAGGAGAGGAUGUCCAGGUGGUUAAUACAGUGAACAGGAGAGGAUGUCCAGGUGGUUAAUACAGUGAACAGGAGAGGAUGUCCAGGUGGUUAAUACAGUGAACAGGAGAGGAUGUCCAGGUGGUUAAUACAGUGAACAGGAGAGGAUGUCCAGGUGGUUAAUACAGUGAACAGGAGAGGAUGUCCAGGUGGUUAAUACAGUGAACAGGAGAGGAUGUCCAGGUGGUUAAUACAGUGAACAGGAGAGGAUGUCCAGGUGGUUAAUACAGUGAACAGGAGAGGAUGUCCAGGUGAUUAAUACAGUGAACAGGAGAGGAUGUCCAGGUGGUUAAUGCAGUGAACAGGAGAGGAUGUCCAGGUGGUUAAUACAGUGAACAGGAGAGGAUGUCCAGGUGGUUUAUACAGUGAACAGGAGAGGAUGUCCAGGUGGUUAAUACAGUGAACAGGAGAGGAUGUCCAGGUGGUUAAUACAGUGAACAGGAGAGGAUGUCCAGGUGGUUAAUACAGUGAACAGGAGAUGAUGUCCAGGUGGUUAAUACAGUGAACAGGAGAGGAUGUCCAGGUGGUUAAUACAGUGAACAGGAGAGGAUGUCCAGGUGGUUAAUACAGUGAACAGGAGAGGAUGUCCAGGUGGUUAAUACAGUGAACAGGAGAGGAUGUCCAGGUGGUUAAUACAGUGAACAGGAGAGGAUGUCCAGGUGGUUAAUACAGUGAACAGGAGAGGAUGUCCAGGUGGUUAAUACAGUGAACAGGAGAGGAUGUCCAGGUGGUUAAUACAGUGAACAGGAGAGGAUGUCCAGGUGGUUUAUACAGUGAACAGGAGAGGAUGUCCAGGUGGUUUAUACAGUGAACAGGAGAGGAUGUCCAGGUGGUUAAUACAGUGAACAGGAGAGGAUGUCCAGGUGGUUAAUACAGUGAACAGGAGAGGAUGUCCAGGGGGUUAAUACAGUGAACAGGAGAGGAUGUCCAGGUGGUUAAUACAGUGAACAGGAGAGGAUGUCCAGGUGGUUAAUACAGUGAACAGGAGAGGAUGUCCAGGUGGUUAAUACAGUGAACAGGAGAGGAUGUCCAGGUGGUUAAUACAGUGAACAGGAGAGGAUGUCCAGGUGGUUAAUACAGUGAACAGGAGAGGAUGUUUUUAAGUAAAGAGAGAUAUGUGGUUCACCCUGAAAGACUGCCUCUUUAUCUAGGUCAGCAACACCUGCCUGUACUGGA